UGAAACCGUCUAGAGGCAAACGGAGAGGACCGUAUGGUCCGCCCGUCGGAUUCAGUCCGCCUGUGCGGCGUCCGCGCCGGCCGCGCAUCCCUCGUGGGAGCGCGCCGGCGUCGGCCACGUCGUGCGGCGGCCGUACUUUCGGCGGGCGGAGCGCCACGACCGGUUCGUCGGCGGCGAGAAACUCCCGGGCAAGGUGACCUUCGUCUCGGCGCAGGAGCAUACAGGCCCGGUGAGCGUCGGCCCGUCGGCGGACCGAGGAAGACCGUCGCGGAGCGGCGUCGACCGCCCGUCGUGUGGUGGCGUUCGACUCGGGGGGACUGGUUCCAGUGCCCUCGGACCGCGCUGCCGCAGCGGCGGGACGGCCCGGCGUCGCGCCUGGGGUCGGUGGCGAAACGGCCGGCAACCUGUCCGACCCGUCUUGAAACACGGACCAAGGAGUCUAACAUGUGCGCGAGUCGUUGGGCGCUACGAAACCCGAAGGCGCAAUGAAAGUGAAGGCCCGGUCUCCGGCCGGCCUGGGUGGGAUCCGGGCGCCCUCGGGCGUCCGGCGCACCACCGGCCCGUCUCGUUCGCCGCGUCGAAGAGGCGGCGCAAGAGCGUACACGUUGGGACCC
This is a ribosomal RNA of 614 nucleotides. The stretch from base 430 to 614 matches the Rfam family "Eukaryotic large subunit ribosomal RNA", at positions 665 to 817 of the family's 3401-position model.